UCCCCACCACCCCUCCACUGAGCUAGCCGCCGCUCUUCCACACCCACCCCUCCGGCUCCCCGCCUCGCACCCAUGGCGACGGCUCUGAUGGCUGCGGCCACCACCUCCUGCUCCCCGCGCCGCGCGGCGCCGCUCCUGAAGCCGAUGGCCUCCUCCUCGUCCUCGCCCAGCUCGGCGCGGGCGCGGCGGCCCCUGGCGCAGCAGCUCCCGCGGCUGCUGGCGACGGCGGCGGCGGCGGUGGCGGCCGCACCGCUCCCGGCGCUGGCGGAGCAGAUGGAGAAGGCGGCGCUCUUCGACUUCAACCUGACGCUCCCGGCGAUCGCGACCGAGUUCCUGCUGCUCAUGGUGGCGCUGGACAAGCUCUACUUCACGCCGCUCGGCAAGUUCAUGGACGAGCGGGACGCCAAGAUCCGCGGCGAGCUUGGCGACGUCAAGGACGCCUCCGAGGAGGUCAAGCAGCUGGAGGAGCAGG
Molecule: long non-coding RNA, 472 nt
Filed under: Setaria italica (foxtail millet)
Lineage: Eukaryota; Viridiplantae; Streptophyta; Magnoliopsida; Poales; Poaceae
Description: long non-coding RNA (SITA_LNC007260)
Source: RNAcentral